Molecule: transfer RNA, 58 nt
Filed under: Monodelphis domestica (gray short-tailed opossum)
Lineage: Eukaryota; Metazoa; Chordata; Mammalia; Didelphimorphia; Didelphidae
Rfam family: tRNA
About the family: Transfer RNA (tRNA) molecules are approximately 80 nucleotides in length. Their secondary structure includes four short double-helical elements and three loops (D, anti-codon, and T loops). Further hydrogen bonds mediate the characteristic L-shaped molecular structure. tRNAs have two regions of fundamental functional importance: the anti-codon, which is responsible for specific mRNA codon recognition, and the 3' end, to which the tRNAs corresponding amino acid is attached (by aminoacyl-tRNA synthetases). tRNAs cope with the degeneracy of the genetic code in two manners: having more than one tRNA (with a specific anti-codon) for a particular amino acid; and 'wobble' base-pairing, i.e. permitting non-standard base-pairing at the 3rd anti-codon position.
Source: Rfam by way of RNAcentral
UGGUGCAGUAGGUAGUAUAUCAGUCUAGCAAGCUGAAGGUCCUGAGUUCAAUCCUCAG